This 1195-nucleotide long non-coding RNA is filed under the name Betta splendens (Siamese fighting fish). RNAcentral describes it as "lncRNA (ENSBSLG00000024139.1)". The record is from RNAcentral. Lineage: Eukaryota; Metazoa; Chordata; Actinopteri; Anabantiformes; Osphronemidae.
AUCGUCCUCUCCCAGGAAACAACGGGCCGUUUAUCGCCCGCCCCCAGAGGAAGCGGCCCGCUGAGGGGCAGCCUGCUGUGGAGGCGCUGGAGGCACCUUCCCUGACAUGGUAUCGCCUCCUCUCAGGCUGCCUGCAGCGCGUUCAAGGCUCCUUCUCAGGAAACAAAUCACUGACUCGAUUUGAACCAAAAACCUGGUAAAAAGAGGGAAAAAACAAAAUGGGAAGAAGAUCAAUGUGAUCAAAAUGUCCGUCAAACAGCCUUUUGUGUCCUGCAAAGAGUUUCUCUUUUUUGUUUUUUUUUGUCCAAGGAUUUGCAAGAAGUGACGUUUUUUUUGUUUCGAUAGGUGAAAAAUAAGGAAGGGGAACAAUCAGGCGAAGAAUGCAGUGACACCAGAAAAUGCUUUGGACAUUGAUUUUUGCUUUUGUGCACUGAAAGCAAGAGCUUAUUGUGGGGAAGUAGAGAGGGAGCGAGAGAGAGAGAGAGAGAGAGAGAGAGAGAGAGGUUAUGUCCUGAUUGGCAACUUAUUCAAUACAAUAACUGGUAUUUUUGCGUUGCCUUGAUUGAGAGGAUGAGAAGUGCUGGGUCGCCCUCCAAACACGUAGCCUUCGCAUACUUCACCUUAUUACGACGGUGAGUCAUGUAUUUCAGGGCAUGUUGUGAUAUUGGCUCACAUUCUUUCUUACCCUGCAUUCAACACUUGGAUUACUCCUCUGCCUUAAGCCAAGACUUGUGAUAUUAAAAAGGGCGGGAUUAGUUUCAGUGGACCACACGGGCGUUUCAUUAAGCUCCGAACGUCUUCCCGUUUUCCCAGGAAGGAACAUUUUGGCUGUUCUUUAAUCUGUGGGUGGUGCUGCACCAUAAAACGGGCUCAAGCAGAGCUCAUGGUCUUGGAUAACAGCCUCGCCGUGAGGAGCAGCGUUCACGCCUGUCGUCCCAGGCCGUCGGCUCCAGCAUGUUUGUACAGUAGCAACGCUGCACUGCUGUGGAGGUCUUCACCUCUCUGCGAGUCUAAACCUUCACUGGACCCACUCCUGUGUAUUAACGAUACUGUAAGUCUUGGGCUGGUUCUGGUUCUGUUGCAUGCAGGUGGGGGCUAUUUUCUUCAUUUAUUUCUCAGCCAACAUGAACUUGAGCUACUGUGCCUCCCGUUAGCAGGCCAGAGGUGUCGCUCCUUCCUCGCGGUCCUCUGUUAG